GUAAAGCACUUUCAGUAGGGAGGAAGGUAGUGUAGUUAACACCUGCAUUAUUUGACGUUACCUACAGAAGAAGCACCGGCUAACUCCGUGCCAGCAGCCGCGGUAAUACGGAGGGUGCGAGCGUUAAUCGGAAUUACUGGGCGUAAAGCGCAUGCAGGCGGCCUGUUAAGUCAGAUGUGAAAGCCCGGGGCGUUAACCUCGGAAUUGCAUUUGAAACUGGCAGGCUAGAGUCUUGUAGAGGGGGGUAGGAAUUUCAGGUGUAGCGGUGAAAUGCGUAGAGAUCUGAAGGAAUACCAGUGGCGAAGGCGGCCCCCCUCGGACAAAGACUGACGCUCAGAUGCGAAAAGCGUGGGGAGCAAACAGGAUUAGAUACCCCUGGUAG
RNAcentral lists this ribosomal RNA (382 nucleotides) under uncultured bacterium. RNAcentral's name for it is "bacterial SSU rRNA". It matches the Rfam family "Bacterial small subunit ribosomal RNA", at positions 425 to 793 of the family's 1533-position model. The record is from RNAcentral.